CCUACGGGAGGCAGCAGUGAGGAAUAUUGGUCAAUGGACGCAAGUCUGAACCAGCCAUGCCGCGUGCAGGAAGACGGCUCUAUGAGUUGUAAACUGCUUUUGUACGAGGGUAAACGCAGAUACGCGUAUCUGUCUGAAAGUAUCGUACGAAUAAGCAUCGGCUAACUCCGUGCCAGCAGCCGCGGUAAUACGGAGGAUUCAAGCGUUAUCCGGAUUUAUUGGGUUUAAAGGGUGCGUAGGCGGUCGGAUAAGUUAGUGGUGAAAUCCCGAGGCUCAACCUCGGAAUUGCCUUUGAUACUGUUCGUCUAGAGAGUAGUUGAGGUAGGCGGAAUGUAUGGUGUAGCGGUGAAAUGCUUAGAGAUCACACAGAACACCGAUUGCGAAGGCAGCUUACCAAGCUACUUCUGACGUUGAGGCACGAAAGCGUGGGGAGCAAACAGGAUUAGAUACCCUAGUAGUC
This 460-nucleotide ribosomal RNA is filed under the name uncultured bacterium. Its description in RNAcentral is "partial 16S ribosomal RNA". It matches the Rfam family "Bacterial small subunit ribosomal RNA", at positions 338 to 795 of the family's 1533-position model. The record is from RNAcentral.